Molecule: long non-coding RNA, 1257 nt
Organism: Toxorhynchites rutilus septentrionalis
Lineage: Eukaryota; Metazoa; Arthropoda; Insecta; Diptera; Culicidae
Exons: 5
Source: RefSeq, a predicted model, not a curated record
AACGUAACAGAGAAUGACUCGAGAACUAAAUUUUUAACAAAUUCAACAACACAGAGACAAAAUACAGGCGAAUUUGUAGUGAACGCAGCUAGUCUUUGUUGAUAUAUCGCGUCAAAGGAAGGAAAGCAGCAGCAACAGCAGAAAUGUAUAAAUGAAAAUGAAAGAAUAACGGUGAUCUGAAUGGAAUGAAAACGGAGUUUGCAGCUUCGGUAACCCGCUCUACUAUACUUUCGAGCGGUUAUGGACCUAAUACCGACCGGAACGGUGUAAAGUGCUGGAAAAAAUCCCCUCUUUCAUCCCCGCAGGCUAAACUGUCCAUAAGUUGAACUAUAAAAGUACACGAUAACUAGUACUUAGUGAAACGGCAUCACUGCAUCGAUUCCCUUUCUUCUUUCUCACUGAACUGUCAUUCGAAUAAACAAAAGCGAAAAGAGUGAACUGAGUGAAGAAUUUUCUUAAACAGCGAAUAGCAAACGAAGGACGUGAAGUGAUGACAAUAAAUUUAAGAUUUCAAAGACAAUAUCGCCAACGGAUGUUUCCAACGAAGUUUCAUCUGAUGUGGUUAUUUCGCUUUUGUUGUCUUCAAUCAGACUUGUAUGGAUAUAAUUGAUGUAGCAAUGGAUGCAUCCGGAUUUGCAGUCACCUGUCUAUGUAAAAAUGCAUACAGAUCAAUCAGUCUUCAAAGAAAAAAAAACAUUCUCACUAUUUGAGGAACAAAUGAACAUGUAUAAAAUCAGCGAUUGAGCGUUAUUCAGUAGCAGCCAGAUAGAACGUCGCAGUUGCAGAAAAAGCAUCUGAUGCAUGGACCAUCGUAACAAUUACCUAACCUUGAAUUUCUAACUGCUUCGUCAGCAGCUGCUUUAGGACCUGCAUCCAACGAUCGCGUUAAACCCACUUAUUGAUGAUAUAGAUGAUGCUUUCAACAUCCCAAACUUUAACUGAAUAGGAAUGUUCAGCUAAGAUCUGAUUCGUCCACACCCGCAAAGUAUAGUCUAGAAUGGUGGUAUUUGGACUAAAGUUUCAUUCUAGCCGCAUCGAAUAAUUUUACGGUAGUCAUUAUAGGAUAAUCAUCGGACGAUAAUUAUGAAUGCUUAAAAUGUAUUCGGCGAAUGCUCCAGUGAAAGAUUGUUUCGUUCAUUGUAACGUGUUGUGUAGGAUAGUUAUUAUUCGUGAUAGUAUACAAUAUAUCAUGAUAUUAGUAUUAGUAUCGAUUUAUAUAAAGUCGCAUUGGAUAUCGAAUAAAUAAUUUCUAUCGAA